This 280-nucleotide ribosomal RNA is filed under the name uncultured Staphylococcus sp. RNAcentral's name for it is "partial 16S ribosomal RNA". It matches the Rfam family "Bacterial small subunit ribosomal RNA", at positions 505 to 783 of the family's 1533-position model. The record is from RNAcentral. Lineage: Bacteria; Bacillati; Bacillota; Bacilli; Caryophanales; Staphylococcaceae.
GUGCCAGCAGCCGCGGUAAUACGUAGGUGGCAAGCGUUAUCCGGAAUUAUUGGGCGUAAAGCGCGCGUAGGCGGUUUUUUAAGUCUGAUGUGAAAGCCCACGGCUCAACCGUGGAGGGUCAUUGGAAACUGGAAAACUUGAGUGCAGAAGAGGAAAGUGGAAUUCCAUGUGUAGCGGUGAAAUGCGCAGAGAUAUGGAGGAACACCAGUGGCGAAGGCGACUUUCCGNGUCUGUAACUGACGCUGAUGUGCGAAAGCGUGGGGAUCAAACAGGAUUAGAU